UGCUUACCUUGAAAGGUGGAGUAUAUGUUAGAGAUCUGAUGUAGUCAUUUGGCAGAAAGAGAGUCCAGCAUUACCUUAGUAAAUAUUACCUAGGUGAAAACAAUUCUCAGAAUUGUUAAGGCUAUAAAAGCAACAUAAGUGAAUACGGCGCCAAAAUUAUUAAUAUCAAGUUACAGGAAAGUCAUUAAGAAUAUUCAACAGUGGAAGUAACAAUGUAACUUGACUUCUUAACAGAAAUUAUGUAUAGAUACGAAAUGUUGCUCCAAAAAAAAAAAAAAAGGGUACUAUAGAGCAUCUAUCUGAAAACAGGUAAGUUUUGUACUUCAUGGAAUUAUGGGCUGCCUGAAUGGAAGUAGAAACCUAAUAAUUAAACCCCUAAUUGUGAAAGGAGCCCUUGCUGGAAAAUAAAUCAAAUGCUGUUGUAUUUAGAUAAAGUAGUUCUGCAAUGAUUUUUUAUUUUAUUUUAAAUGGGAUUCUGCAAUGAAAUGUUUACGCUGUCAACAACAGAUACCAUCUGAAAACAUCUUCAAUUCUAGCCAGAUGAAGAUGUAUAUUACCCCAAAAUAUAAUGUUUUUUAAACUAGGAAAAUAAAUCAAAUGCUGUUGUAUUUAGAUA
RNAcentral lists this long non-coding RNA (616 nucleotides) under Olea europaea subsp. europaea. Lineage: Eukaryota; Viridiplantae; Streptophyta; Magnoliopsida; Lamiales; Oleaceae. The record is from RNAcentral.